Molecule: ribosomal RNA, 440 nt
Filed under: uncultured bacterium
Lineage: Bacteria
Description: partial 16S ribosomal RNA
Rfam family: Bacterial small subunit ribosomal RNA
Source: RNAcentral
CCUACGGGAGGCAGCAGUGGGGAAUAUUGCACAAUGGGGGAAACCCUGAUGCAGCGACGCCGCGUGAAGGAAGAAGUAUUUCGGUAUGUAAACUUCUUUUAGUAUGGAAGAAAAUGACGGUAUCUGUCUAAGAAGCCCCGGCUAACUACGUGCCAGCAGCCGCGGUAAUACGUAGGGGGCAAGCGUUAUCCGGAUUUACUGGGGUUAAAGGGAGCGUAGGCGGUGGAGCAAGUCAGAUGUGAAAGCGCGGGGCUCAACCCCAGGACUGCAGUUGAAACUGUUAGACUAGAGUACAGGAGAGGUAAGUGGAAUUCUUGGUGUAGCGGUGAAAUGCGUAGAUAUAAAGAGGAACACCAGUGGCGAAGGCGGCUUACUGGACUGUAAAUGACGCUGAGGCUCGAAAGCGUGGGGAGCAAACAGGAUUAGAUACCCUAGUAGUC